Gossypium raimondii (Peruvian cotton) is the source of this 107-nucleotide non-coding RNA. The record is from Rfam. NCBI's taxonomy places the organism in Eukaryota, Viridiplantae, Streptophyta, Magnoliopsida, Malvales, Malvaceae.
AAUCUAUGUAUCAGACAUUUUUGAAUUAAAAUUUUAAAUCGUUCCCAAGCUUCAUAUAGUGUUUCAUCCUCCAAUUGCCGAAAAGAUGUGAAUUUAUUUCUAAGCAU